Molecule: ribosomal RNA, 359 nt
Filed under: Paralaudakia stoliczkana (Mongolia rock agama)
Lineage: Eukaryota; Metazoa; Chordata; Lepidosauria; Squamata; Agamidae
Description: partial 12S ribosomal RNA
Source: RNAcentral
GCCUGGGCCUAAACACAAACAUACCAAAAAAAUACGAACAAACUUCAAACUUAAAAGACCUGGCGGUGCCAGAACCAACCUAGAGGAGCCUGUUAUGUAAUCGAUAAUCCACGAUAAACCUUACCUACUCUAGCACCAAACAGCCUAUAUACCGCCGUCGACAGCCCAUUUUACAAGAAAUGAAGCAAAACUUAAGCCAACUCCCUAACACGACAGGUCAAGGCGUAGCUAAUGAGAAGGACAACAAUGGGCUACAUUACUAAACAUAAAGCAAAACUUACACUGAAACAAGUAAUACAAGAAGGAUUUAGCAGUAAGAAGAAUAAGAGCGUCCUUCUGAACUUAGCACUCAGGCACGU